GACAGAGGGUGCAAACGUUGUUCGGAAUUACUGGGCGUAAAGCGCGUGUAGGCGGCUAAGUAAGUCGGGCGUGAAAUCCCACGGCUCAACCGUGGAAGUGCACUCGAAACUGGCGGAGCUUGAGUACGAAAGAGGAUCGCGGAAUUCCCGGUGUAGAGGUGAAAUUCGUAGAUAUCGGGAGGAACACCGGUGGCGAAGGCGGCGAUCUGGGUCGAUACGUGACGCUGAGGUGGCGAAAGCGUGGGGAGCAACAGGAUAGAA
RNAcentral lists this ribosomal RNA (261 nucleotides) under uncultured bacterium. RNAcentral describes it as "partial 16S ribosomal RNA". It matches the Rfam family "Bacterial small subunit ribosomal RNA", at positions 524 to 782 of the family's 1533-position model. The record is from RNAcentral.